GGCUUAGUAGUAUAGCUUGGUUAUUACACCCGAGUAAAUGCUCUAGGGGAUUGUAGGUUCGAAUCCUACCUACGCCU
Chaetomium strumarium is the source of this 77-nucleotide non-coding RNA. NCBI's taxonomy places the organism in Eukaryota, Fungi, Ascomycota, Sordariomycetes, Sordariales, Chaetomiaceae. The record is from the annotation of a RefSeq genome assembly.